Molecule: ribosomal RNA, 640 nt
Filed under: Malassezia sympodialis
Lineage: Eukaryota; Fungi; Basidiomycota; Malasseziomycetes; Malasseziales; Malasseziaceae
Description: partial large subunit ribosomal RNA
Rfam family: Eukaryotic large subunit ribosomal RNA
Source: RNAcentral
UGCAUAUCAAUAAGCGGAGGAAAAGAAACUAACAAGGAUUCCCCUAGUAACGGCGAGCGAAGCGGGAAGAGCUCAAAUUUGAAAGCUGGCACCUCCGGUGUCCGCGUUGUAAUCUCGAGACGUGUUUUCCGUGCGGCUCUAUGGACAAGUCCCUUGGAACAGGGCAUCGUAGAGGGUGAAAAUCCCGUACUUGCCAUGGAUGUACCGUGCUUUGUGAUACACGCUCUAAGAGUCGAGUUGUUUGGGAUUGCAGCUCAAAAUGGGUGGUAGACUCCAUCUAAAGCUAAAUAUCGGGGAGAGACCGAUAGCGAACAAGUACCGUGAGGGAAAGAUGAAAAGCACUUUGGAAAGAGAGUUAAAAGUACGUGAAAUUGUCGAAAGGGAAGCGCUUGAAGUCAGCCAUGCUGCGCGGACUCAGCCCGGCUGAUGCCUGGUGUAUUUCCCAGCAGCAAGUCAGCAUGGAUUUGGAUCGCCGGAGAAGGGUGGGAGGAAUGUGGCACCCUCGGGUGUGUUAAGCCUCCUACUGGAUACGGCGAUUUGGAUCCAGGAACGCAGUGUGCCUCUGGCGGGUCUUCGGACACCUUCACACUUAGGAUGCUGGCGUAAUGGCUUUAAGCGGCCCGUCUUGAAACACGGACCA